This is a long non-coding RNA of Bactrocera dorsalis (oriental fruit fly), 1643 nucleotides long. RefSeq lists it as uncharacterized. NCBI's taxonomy places the organism in Eukaryota, Metazoa, Arthropoda, Insecta, Diptera, Tephritidae. The transcript has 2 exons. The record is from RefSeq and is a predicted model, not a curated record.
UUUACUUAGUAGGGAAGCUGUUUCCUGUGUGAGGGCGUGCGAAACCGUUUCAGCAAACGUUCUUUUUGGCAAUGCAUACGUGGCGCGUUUGGUGUCCACAUCACGAAUUCCAUUUAUGAAACAUUGAAUUUUUACCCUCUCAAUGUAAUCCACAGGUGCAUCUGCAUUUGCCAAAUGAGCCAGUCGAUCUAUUUCAGUUGCGAACUCUUGCAAUGACUCGUUCAUUUUCUGACCCCUAUUUUGCAGUUCGAUCUGGUAUAUUUGUUUCCGGUGUUCACUACCAUAUCGUCUUUCUAUCGCACUCAUCAAUGCCUCAUAGUUGUCCCGUUCACAGUCUGGAAUAGUCUGAAGGAUUUCUGCCGCAGGUCCUUUCAAUGAUACAAACAAGGACGCCACUUUGUCCGCUGCAUUCCAAUUAUUGGCCAUUGCUGUCUUUUCAAACUGAAGUUUGAAAAUUUGAAAUGGAAUACUUCCAUCGAAUGUGGGUGCCUUCAAUCUUUGGAUAUUUGUUGAUGGUGCAGGGCCAUGCAGUUGCAGUUCUCGCACACGAUUACUUAAUUGAAGAACUUCUGAUAUUAAAUUUUCUUCGUCAUUUUUUAAAGUGCUUAAUUCGUCUUCAAAUUUUGAAAAUUUCUCUUGCACUUGUGUAUUAUUCUCUGUAAUCUGUUGUGUAAGGCGAGACUCUAACUGUGAUGUAUUUUCAGCUAUUUGCGUCAUUUGCUGUGCCAGACGAUUUUCUGUUUGCACUACAUUUUCUGUUAUUCGUGAUAUAUUUUCAGCUAUUUGCUGUGCCAGACGAUUUUCUGUUUGCACUGCAUUUUCUGCUAUUUGCUGUGCCAGACGAUUUUCUGUUUGCACUGCGUUUUCUGCUAUUUGCCUAAUAGCCACUAAUAACAUGUUAGUGUCUACGCUUGAUGAUGUUCGUUGUUCUUCUAAUUUUUCUUCUACCUUUGUAGAAGUUCCUGGCCCAUCAAAUUCGAACUCGUCUACAUUAAUUCCAUCCGCUUCCAUUGCUUCACGUAGUCGUGCCUGCAGAUCCGCCUUUUGCCCGCUUAUCGGCAAAUUACACUCCUCCAGUUCCUUUUUUAAUUGCUGAAUUCUCAAUUCUCCGAAUUUAACCAUCUUGAAUUUGGAUUAUUUAACAAUCCCACUUCUGACACCAAUUGUUACGAAUUUACUGCUUGCUAGUUUACUUUGUUAGGUUCGUAUCUCUGGAUUGACAAAUAAAAUCAACACUGUUUAAUUUAAUUCAACAACUCUUUAUUUCACAACUCGUCUACACUAUAGCAGUUUACUCUUAGCACUGAUUGAUUACGUUGGCGCUGCCACGGCUUAUAUAGCCACGCACUUCUCGCUGAUGCCGACGUGUCCUUCUAGAAUAUCGCGUCUGGAAAUUACCAGAACAUACGGCUAUACGGCGCCAGACGCAAGCAGACAGUCGCGGCGCCAGACUCAGCAAUUGUUUACCUAGACAAGCAGACAGUGCGGCGCCAGAUGUCUAUUGUUUCGACGAGCAGACAGCCGUGGCGCCAGAUGUCUACAACAAGACAAAUGCUAUUCCAUAUACCUACAGCUAUUGUUCAUAAUCAGGGAUGCAUAUAGUAAUACAAAUAUAACUUAAUACUACUUUUGUAACAAUAUUU